RNAcentral lists this ribosomal RNA (2995 nucleotides) under Salmonella enterica subsp. enterica serovar Infantis. Its description in RNAcentral is "23S ribosomal RNA". It matches the Rfam family "Bacterial large subunit ribosomal RNA". Lineage: Bacteria; Pseudomonadati; Pseudomonadota; Gammaproteobacteria; Enterobacterales; Enterobacteriaceae. The record is from RNAcentral.
GGUUAAGCGACUAAGCGUACACGGUGGAUGCCCUGGCAGUCAGAGGCGAUGAAGGACGUGCUAAUCUGCGAUAAGCGCCGGUAAGGUGAUAUGAACCGUUAUAACCGGCGAUUUCCGAAUGGGGAAACCCAGUGUGACUCGUCACACUAUCAUUAACUGAAUCCAUAGGUUAAUGAGGCGAACCGGGGGAACUGAAACAUCUAAGUACCCCGAGGAAAAGAAAUCAACCGAGAUUCCCCCAGUAGCGGCGAGCGAACGGGGAGGAGCCCAGAGCCUGAAUCAGCAUGUGUGUUAGUGGAAGCGUCUGGAAAGGCGCGCGAUACAGGGUGACAGCCCCGUACACAAAAAGCGCAUGUGCUGUGAGCUCGAUGAGUAGGGCGGGACACGUGGUAUCCUGUCUGAAUAUGGGGGAAAUUCAUCCUCCAAGGCUAAAUACUCCUGACUGACCGAUAGUGAACCAGUACCGUGAGGGAAAGGCGAAAAGAACCCCGGCGAGGGGGAGUGAAAAAGAACCUGAAACCGUGUACGUACAAGCAGUGGGAGCACAGGUUUACCUGUGUGACUGCGUACCUUUUGUAUAAUGGGUCAGCGACUUAUAUUCUGUAGCAAGGUUAACCGAAUAGGGGAGCCGGAGGGAAACCGAGUCUUAACCGGGCGUUAAGUUGCAGGGUAUAGACCCGAAACCCGGUGAUCUAGCCAUGGGCAGGUUGAAGGUUGGGUAACACUAACUGGAGGACCGAACCGACUAAUGUUGAAAAAUUAGCGGAUGACCUGUGGCUGGGGGUGAAAGGCCAAUCAAACCGGGAGAUAGCUGGUUCUCCCCGAAAGCUAUUUAGGUAGCGCCUCGUGAAUUCAUCUCCGGGGGUAGAGCACUGUUUCGGCUAGGGGGCCAUCCCGGCUUACCAACCCGAUGCAAACUGCGAAUACCGGAGAAUGUUAUCACGGGAGACACACGGCGGGUGCUAACGUCCGUCGUGAAGAGGGAAACAACCCAGACCGCCAGCUAAGGUCCCAAAGUCAUGGUUAAGUGGGAAACGAUGUGGGAAGGCCCAGACAGCCAGGAUGUUGGCUUAGAAGCAGCCAUCAUUUAAAGAAAGCGUAAUAGCUCACUGGUCGAGUCGGCCUGCGCGGAAGAUGUAACGGGGCUAAACCAUGCACCGAAGCUGCGGCAGCGAACGUAUCACUUAAAGCGAUUCAGCGGGUUACGAUUGACGGAGCGAAGCGACGUCAAAGCGUAUACAAAGUCGAGUCGGUUUAAGGAUACGUUCGUUGGGUAGGGGAGCGUUCUGUAAGCCUGUGAAGGUGUGUCGUGAGGCAUGCUGGAGGUAUCAGAAGUGCGAAUGCUGACAUAAGUAACGAUAAAGCGGGUGAAAAGCCCGCUCGCCGGAAGACCAAGGGUUCCUGUCCAACGUUAAUCGGGGCAGGGUGAGUCGACCCCUAAGGCGAGGCCGAAAGGCGUAGUCGAUGGGAAACGGGUUAAUAUUCCCGUACUUGGUGUUACUGCGAAGGGGGGACGGAGAAGGCUAUGUUGGCCGGGCGACGGUUGUCCCGGUUUAAGCGUGUAGGUGUGUGUUCCAGGUAAAUCCGGUUCACUUUAACACUGAGGCGUGAUGACGAGGCACUACGGUGCUGAAGCAACAAAUGCCCUGCUUCCAGGAAAAGCCUCUAAGCAUCAGGUAACAUCAAAUCGUACCCCAAACCGACACAGGUGGUCAGGUAGAGAAUACCAAGGCGCUUGAGAGAACUCGGGUGAAGGAACUAGGCAAAAUGGUGCCGUAACUUCGGGAGAAGGCACGCUGACAUGUAGGUGAAGUGAUUUACUCAUGGAGCUGAAGUCAGUCGAAGAUACCAGCUGGCUGCAACUGUUUAUUAAAAACACAGCACUGUGCAAACACGAAAGUGGACGUAUACGGUGUGACGCCUGCCCGGUGCCGGAAGGUUAAUUGAUGGGGUCAGCGCAAGCGAAGCUCCUGAUCGAAGCCCCGGUAAACGGCGGCCGUAACUAUAACGGUCCUAAGGUAGCGAAAUUCCUUGUCGGGUAAGUUCCGACCUGCACGAAUGGCGUAAUGAUGGCCAGGCUGUCUCCACCCGAGACUCAGUGAAAUUGAACUCGCUGUGAAGAUGCAGUGUACCCGCGGCAAGACGGAAAGACCCCGUGAACCUUUACUAUAGCUUGACACUGAACAUUGAGCCUUGAUGUGUAGGAUAGGUGGGAGGCUUUGAAGCGUGGACGCCAGUCUGCGUGGAGCCGACCUUGAAAUACCACCCUUUAAUGUUUGAUGUUCUAACGUGGACCCGUAAUCCGGGUUGCGGACAGUGUCUGGUGGGUAGUUUGACUGGGGCGGUCUCCUCCUAAAGAGUAACGGAGGAGCACGAAGGUUGGCUAAUCCUGGUCGGACAUCAGGAGGUUAGUGCAAUGGCAUAAGCCAGCUUGACUGCGAGCGUGACGGCGCGAGCAGGUGCGAAAGCAGGUCAUAGUGAUCCGGUGGUUCUGAAUGGAAGGGCCAUCGCUCAACGGAUAAAAAGGUACUCCGGGGAUAACAGGCUGAUACCGCCCAAGAGUUCAUAUCGACGGCGGUGUUUGGCACCUCGAUGUCGGCUCAUCACAUCCUGGGGCUGAAGUAGGUCCCCAAGGGUAUGGCUGUUCGCCAUUUAAAGUGGUACGCGAGCUGGGUUUAGAACGUCGUGAGACAGUUCGCAUUCCUAUCUGCCGUGGGCGCUGGAGAACUGAGGGGGCUGCUCCUAGUACGAGAGGACCGGAGUGGACGCAUCACUGGUGUUCGGGUUGUCAUGCCAAUGGCACUGCCCGGUAGCUAAAUGCGGAAGAGAUAAGUGCUGAAAGCAUCUAAGCACGAAACUUGCCCCGAGAUGAGUUCUCCCUGAGACUUAGAGUCUCCUGAAGGAACGUUGAAGACGACGACGUUGAUAGGCCGGGUGUGUAAGCGCAGCGAUGCGUUGAGCUAACCGGUACUAAUGAACCGUGAGGCUUAACCUU